RNAcentral lists this long non-coding RNA (3292 nucleotides) under Mytilus galloprovincialis (Mediterranean mussel). Lineage: Eukaryota; Metazoa; Mollusca; Bivalvia; Mytilida; Mytilidae. The record is from RNAcentral.
UCGUGGAUGUAUUUUAUUUUAUAUGUACUGUAGUACCACUUUCAUAUUCAGUUUUUUUUAAAUUCCAGAUAAGACAUUCUCAGAAGCAAUGAAAACCCAUCUUCAGCAAGCUGAACAUAGAUCCAAGAUUCUACAGGAUAUAGUACAGUUACUAAGUGAUAGUUAGUUGGACAGUUGAGUUCAAGGCAAUGAAAGUCUUAAAUGAGUAUGUGUAAGAAGGGUCAUAUUCAUUUUAAGAUGUUAUGAUAAAAGUUAUUGGUUUAAAAAAUUUAUAGUACUGUGUCAUUAUGCAAUUGAAAUAAUUAAUUUCAAUAACUAAUUUUACAACUUUUUUAAAGUUUUUUUUAUCCAAGUAGAAUGUUGUGUACCUGAUAAUUAAUUAGGUGAGAAAAGGUUUAUGAAAGUAAUUUAAUGCUAUAUUCUUUUAUUAUAUAUGUCAGAUUCAUAUAAUACUUAUAUUAUUGGCAGAUCUUUUGUUUUAAGGUUGAGAAAUUACAAGACCGUUUUAGCUUUUAUGGCAAGGGAAGUUCACAAAAAAGUGCUCAACUUUCCAUAUAUUUGUUGACCUCAAAAUGAAGUAAUUUGCUUUAGAGUUAUUCCCCUUGGCCACCUUUUUUUUGCAGCUGAAACAGAUUUAUUUUUCUUAUACAUAAUAUAUAUGUUAUAUGAAUUUAAGGCCCAAUUACUACAUAAGUAAGCCGCCUACUAAAACCAAUAAGAAAAUUUUCCUUUCUUACUUACCAAAUUAAAACAUGUGGUACACCGUACUAUCAAUUUAUUAUGACAGCAAAAGGGUAACUUUUACGUUAAAAACAUCAAUCAAAAACUAUCUAUGUAAAAAAGUAUUAAUCUACCUCUGAAACAGGGUUUAUUUCAUAUUUUAUAUAUUUCUCCCAUCUUUCUGUGAUCUUCAACACUUGAUAGGGUUUUGUAGGAAAAGAUUAGGAAUUAUUAUUAAAACAUACUUUUAUACUCAAUAUAGUUUACUCAAGCUAUCUGAGGUAUUGUUUUACUGCUAGUUAAUAAGAUGCUUGAUGAUUAAAUUGAACUGAACGAUUAUUCUAAACGCUUUUUAAAUAUAUUUUAUGUCACUGCAAAAACAAAUAAGAUCAGAUAUAAUAGAAUGUAUCAGAGGAAGUAGAUUUAUAUGGCAUGUUUCCCAGUUAAAAAAGUUCUACAGAGGUAUUUUUCUUAUUUUUAAAAAUGUCAAAUGAAUUAUUAUUUGGUAAUAAUUUAUAAUGAAAUAUAUUAAAGUACAAAGAUGUACAUGAUUUUUUUUUUAAUUUCCAAUUAUUGUGAUAGUUUCUUUACUGCCUUAUUUAGCUGGGAUUGAUGAAUUAUGUUGGCAUGUUUUGGAUAUAAGCAAAUGUUUUAUGAUUUGCUGAUGUUACUGCCUUUUGUUAAAUUUUAUAUUUUGAUAAGAUUUAUAAUAAAUGUUGAAUAGAUUGUAUAUUUUUAUAACAAUUUACAAAUGAUUAUAGCUAAUAUUUCACAUUAUGUUAUAUUAUCAGGAUAACUUGCUUUAUAUAUGAAAAAACAUUUCAUUUGCAACGUUUAUGUACAAAUAGGAAUCAAGCCUUUUUGAUUCACAUUUUAAAACCAAGAGCCGAGUUAGAUAAUUCAAGUGCCUAUCACUAUACCAGAAAAGAGACAAGAGACAAUUUCACUAUUUGUCUUGAAAGGUUGACAUGCAGAAUUUUGAUGAAGUAAUUUUUUUGAAACAGACAUUUGCAUGUCAGAUAAGAACCUCUAAACAAAAUAUAAUAAAAAUUAGAAUUAAACAUACAUUUUUAUACUCAUAGAUUGGAUGACCCUUUACCAAAUCUGGAUGUCCAUAUGUCCACUUAUCAGUCACCUUUCAGUUUUUUUCCAAUUUCCUUAUUUUAGGAUCAGCUGUACAAAGUCAAGGGGACUAACUGACUAACUAUAGUUUGUGUCUGCUACUGCAUGCAUGUUUAAAGUCAUCAUUUCUAAAUCAAAAGAUUAUGGCCAUUUGAUUUCUAGAAAUUCAAGUAAUUCAUAAGUUUUGUUGUAGUUGACCUGCUCUUGACAACCUUUAUAUUUGUAGAAAAUUUCUUCAAAAUUAAAAUUCUUAGUUCUGUUGUAAGCUGUCAUCAUGGUUACCAUAAUUAAGAAAUAAUUGAUGCAAGCUAUACUUUAUUGUAGUUUUAACAUGGGUAGGCAUUUUAUACGUGAUUAUUUUGCCUGAGUGAUAAUGAGGGCUAAAAUAACACGAAUAUGAUGCCUACCUAUGUUAAAACUACAAUUAAGUAUAGCUUGCAUCAAUUAUUUCGAUUCUGAAUAGGACAAUUAAGGUAAUUUCUAUGUCCGAUAAGUAUAAGUGUAAACGGGUUUGUGUAGGCUCGUCCAUAAACCUUAGUCCUCCCUUUUUUGUUUGUAAAGAAGCAACGGCUGGCACUGUGAUUUUUCAGAGUGAGGAGUUUGAACAGCCAGCACGAACAGUUGUUGUAUCUAGGUCAAAUAUGUCAAUUUCGGAAUGCAACACAUUACAGUCAUAAUAAAGGAAUUAGUUACAUCAUGUGCACCAUUUAAGAGUUUGAAUGUUUUUUUAAAGUUAAGGAAAUAUAUUAAGUGCAUGAUAAUUUGAUAAAAUUCAUUAUUCUGAAGAAGUCAAGAUACGCAUGUGCAAACAAAUUUUAUUGGAUUAAGGAGCGUUUGUUUGUUCACAAAGCGAAACAAGCACAUCAUAUUAGAAUUGGUAUUAAAUUAUUAAGUAGUCAAUAAAAGAUUCCUUAAGGUAGUAUGGGUGUCUUUCGCCAUCUUGGAUUGUAAAAAACAGAGAAUGUAAGGUCAAAAUUUUCAAUCAAAUUAGCAAAAUUUGAUGCAGAAAUGCAGAUAACUUAUGUGAAUCUGCAUUUAAAAGAACAAAUUUAUGAGAUUAAAAUUUGUACAUACUAAUACUUUUAAAAGUUUAGGAUAUUUUUUGCUUAGUUUUUAAUGUUUUGAAUUGACAUUUUAAGGGGAGAUCACUCUAAAAUAGCGCAUUUUCUGAAGGAAUCUACAUGGAAUUUUGCUAUUUUGUAUUUUAACCGGGAAAAUAGCACGGUAACACUAUCUUUUCUUUUGAUAUUCUUAAAGCAUUUUCUAAAAGCUAUCUUCUCGUAUUUUAUCUUACAAUUCUAUCAUUUGGUUAAGCUUCUAAUCACAAAAAUGAUGUUUUUUCCCAGUAUAAUCCAUACAAAAUGUGUCCUAUAAUUUUUAUUAUAUUUUUGAACAUUUAUCAAUACAUACUACGUUUUGGCAAAGUAUGAACUAUUGUAUCAUUUUUGAU